Molecule: long non-coding RNA, 990 nt
Filed under: Heterocephalus glaber (naked mole-rat)
Lineage: Eukaryota; Metazoa; Chordata; Mammalia; Rodentia; Bathyergidae
Description: lncRNA (ENSHGLG00100027013.2)
Source: RNAcentral
AGGGGACAGACCGCGUGUGUCUGUGCUUGCCUGCAGGGAAAGGCUACUCUGGAGCUUCAGGUGUCUGGACAUUUUCACAUGAAAAUGUGAAUAAGUGUUGCUGCUAACCAAAAGUAUUCUGCAUGUUAUUAGCCAUCUGUCCCUGUGCAGGGCUUUCCACAAUAAGCAAAAACCUUAAAAGAUAACAAAUAGAAAGAACACAGCUAAUGUUUCAUCCAUAGAGUAUAUUAUUAGCCUACAUCCAUUUCAGGUGGGGAGAAGAAAAUCAGUUGCCUAUUUUGCUUUUUGCUUCAAGCUAUUGCUUUGGCCACAGUUACCCAGAGAAACAGACAUUCCUCAAAAACAAACUCAGAAUACUGUGUUUUUUCUCUGACAAAUUCCCAACUGCCCGUGAGGGAGGCCCCCAGGUCCCUCGAGGGCUCUUCCCACAGCCCAGGGACGACAGCAGGGACCCUCUACCCAAGAGUGACAGCCGCCUUGACCACCAGAGAUGAGGCUCAACACCAACCUUUAAAGUUUAAUGGUUCUAUUAAAAUGCUUUCAUAAGCAUUAAUACAUACUCAUACAUUUUGCAGUGAUAUUUUAAAGAAAAGAUUUCACAAAUUCAGUUUAUAAAUCCAACUUUCAACAAGUCUGAGAAAGAAAGAACUCUCCAGCAUGGAAACCUGGCCAUCAUUUGCUGUGAACACUCGUGUGCCUGAAAGCACUCGAUAUAGAACGGCCCUGAGUGAGCAUACUCGGGCAUACAUCUGUGCUGCAUCAUAUCUACUGGACAGACACACCAGGCAGAGGCUACAACAAAAGAAUUCGCCCAGGAACAUAGCAUGGGCUGACCUCCAUCCAUCCCUACAGCCUCAAGGUUGUGACGCAUUUAAGAAGCAGCUACCAAGAUGAAGUACCAAGGCCUCAUCCUGCAGCCUUUAUGAGCUCUCAUUGUUAUUCCAUUGUGGACCUCCUUCCAAGUUUUAUCGUUUAAUCAUCCACAUUGUG